Molecule: ribosomal RNA, 371 nt
Filed under: uncultured bacterium
Lineage: Bacteria
Description: bacterial SSU rRNA
Rfam family: Bacterial small subunit ribosomal RNA
Source: RNAcentral
ACGGAGGGUGCGAGCGUUAUCCGGAAUCACUGGGUUUAAAGGGUGCGUAGGCGGCGAGGUAAGUCAGUUGUGAAAUUCCCCGGCUCAACCGGUGGGACUGCGAUUGAUACUGCUUUGCUUGAAACAGGUUGAGGUAAGCGGAAUGUGACAUGUAGCGGUGAAAUGCAUAGAUAUGUCAUAGAACACCGAUUGCGAAGGCAGCUUGCUGGGCCUGAUUUGACGCUGAGGCACGAAAGCGUGGGGAGCAAACAGGAUUAGAUACCCUGGUAGUCCACGCCCUAAACGAUGUUUACUUGCUGUUCCUGCCUUGAGCGGGAGUGGCGUAGCGAAAGCGAUAAGUAAACCACCUGGGGAGUACGCCGGCAACGGUG